CCACCCUCUACAAUAAAUAACCUUUAUCAGAACUUCUUUGGCAUUGGAUCUGUAUCUCAGAAUAUAAAACAAGGAAAGGGAAGGGGAAAUGGAAAGGCUAAGAAGAAAUGAUUUGAGAUCCGUUUUCUGAUUUUUUGUGUUUAAGAAGACAAUAUUUUUUUCUUUUGUAGACUUGAAUUAAUGCUGAAUCAAAAGUGGCAGCAAUGAAGACUUCAUCUGAGACCCAUUUAAAACCGUCACAAUCUGUACAAGUGAGGUUUGAUUUUGCAGUGGGCAGUUUUUGAAGCAAUGACCAGAUUCUCCGCAAGCGUAACAACCAUUCUCUACUGGUAAUUUCACCAUCUUGCAUUUGACAGGAUCGAUGGCAUCGUCAAACCAUUCAAAGUACUGACAGGUUGGAAUUGAACACUUCAAAAACAUUUUUUCGUUUGUUUCUUUUGCUUUUGAACACAAUAGUUGCCUUAUACCAUUACAUGGUAUUUAUUUGCACCUGGAAUAAAUCCAAGGACAUACCUUUGGAUCAUGAAUUCCCUGUGCACAGAUAGAACAUGAAAUUAGGGGUUGUUUUAAUCUUAAUCUUACCUUGCUGCUGCUACUGCUGCCUGGAGAGUUUACUUCAUUUUGGCUCAUGUCUUAUUUAUUUUUAUUUUUUUGAUCUGUUGAGUAUGACAAAUACUAU
Long non-coding RNA from Papaver somniferum (opium poppy), 679 nucleotides. RefSeq lists it as uncharacterized. Lineage: Eukaryota; Viridiplantae; Streptophyta; Magnoliopsida; Ranunculales; Papaveraceae. The record is from RefSeq and is a predicted model, not a curated record. The transcript is spliced from 3 exons.